UAGGGAAUCUUCCACAAUGGGCGAAAGCCUGAUGGAGCAACGCCGCGUGUGUGAUGAAGGGUUUCGGCUCGUAAAACACUGUUGUAAGAGAAGAAUGACAUUGAGAGUAACUGUUCAAUGUGUGACGGUAUCCUACCAGAAAGGAACGGCUAAAUACGUGCCAA
This 164-nucleotide ribosomal RNA is filed under the name uncultured bacterium. RNAcentral describes it as "partial 16S ribosomal RNA". It matches the Rfam family "Bacterial small subunit ribosomal RNA", at positions 355 to 511 of the family's 1533-position model. The record is from RNAcentral.